AAGCGAAACGCCCUGCCAAUGGCGGGGCGUCUGCUGGGCGUGGUGGCCCAGCACUGAUGAGCAGCCAAGG
Molecule: non-coding RNA, 70 nt
Filed under: Vreelandella maris
Lineage: Bacteria; Pseudomonadati; Pseudomonadota; Gammaproteobacteria; Oceanospirillales; Halomonadaceae
Source: RNAcentral